Passer domesticus (house sparrow) is the source of this 5115-nucleotide long non-coding RNA. RefSeq lists it as uncharacterized. The record is from RefSeq and is a predicted model, not a curated record. The transcript is spliced from 3 exons. Lineage: Eukaryota; Metazoa; Chordata; Aves; Passeriformes; Passeridae.
AGCUCGCUGGCAGGAAGUUCGGGGUUCACGGUUUUACCCUCUUCCCCUAAACACCUCUGAGCACGACAUUCGGCUUGGUGUUUAGUACAGAAACAACCCCAAGUUUGCCCAGUGCCCUCAGAAAGGGGGGGGAAGCAGCGAAGAGGCAAACCCCGCCAUCCGAUCCCUCCUGCAGGUGCCCUGUCCCCACCCGGAGCCCCCCAGAACCAGCCAGCGGCUCCUGCCUCCCCCGGGGCCCGCAGGGAGCACCGGCCGGAGCCCCAGCCCCGACAGCGGGGACACUCACAGGACUUCUGUGAGGCUUUGUUGAACUUCAUGGGCAGCUGCCUGAUGUGUCAUUCUUCCCAUGGCUGUUCCUGGCUGGUUCAGUGGGAGUUUGCAACACAUCAAUCAGCUCAAGGAGGGUGAUUUUCCUCGGAGAGGAGGUUUUGAUUAAAGCUACAGUACUUGCUGGUGAUCUGAGGAGUGAGCGAGGCACCGGCCUCGGGCGUUCAGGCGAAUUUCAGCAUUCAGAUGUCACAAGGGACAGCUCAGACACAGCUGAAGCAGAGGGACACGAAGGGACACAGCUUGGCUCUCUGCACUGAUGCACAUGCACAGAAUAAAGGAGGUACACAGAACCCACUCAUGCCUUGGGGUGUAAAAUUGAAUUCCUGAUUAGGCUCUGCUACCUACUCUUCCUUCCUUCGCCAAUUUUAGUAAUUUGUAACUCAGUGUGUUUUCCUUAAGAAUGCACACUGGCCAAAGUGAAAAAAAGUUGUGUAAGACUGAAAAUUGGUAGUGGUAGCCCCCACACUAAGGAAUACUUCUAAUUUAAAUUUUAAAAGUACUAUUCUGGUUGCUGCUGAAGUGUCUAAUUUUAAAAUUCACUUUUCUCCUGAAAAGAUAAAAUGCUGCUUCUGCUAGUGGUUUACAGAAAUAGACUAUCUGCACUCAAGUGCUCUCAACAGUGAAAGUGCACAAAUAAUCUUUCUUUACAGUUUCAAAAACUGAACUGGUGGCUGGUAAUUACAGGUAUAACAUUUUAAGAAACACAGGCAGCUUUCUAAAAGCCUAGAGGCCAAGGAUCAGAGAAACACAUUUGUCUUAGAUGCCAAUCCCAUGUCUUCCCAAUUCUGAAAUAUGAAAUAUUUUCAUUACUUUUUCUGGUGGCUAACACACAUGGCACAGACCCUGUAAUGCUGACUUCCAGAAUGUUCUCACUCCAAACCACAGCAGGUAAACAACACACACCCAACAGCCUGCAAGCAUCUUGCUGCAGAGACAAUCAGAUAAACCAGCCUUGAAGAUAAACAUGGCAGAAUGAGAGUCCCCAUCUGAAACAAGCCCUUAGGAGGAAUUCUGACCCAAAUCACAUGAACAUGGCAAGGGUUACUUUAUAAGUUGUUACAUGGAGCUCUCUGAUCCACAUUAGUAAGAGCUUGCCUUCCACACAGUUGUCUCUGCAUUGCAAAGCUCCUGGUGAUCACUCCGUUUUCUCAGAGCAAGAAUUUGGCCGGACCUGUCAGGGUUCCUGCUCCUCCCAGCAAUGCACCUUGCCAUGUUCCUGCUCCCUCACAGCUCCCAGCAGGGCUGUCACCUGCUUCAAAUCCCAGCUUCACUCAGCACCAGCAGCCCUGGAGCACCGCCUGUUAUGGUGAGAAGGUUCAGGAAUAAGAGAACAAGCAGCUGUGACACGCUGGGUGGGAGUACAGAUUCAGCAUUCCCAUCACAGGGAUGAGCUUCUUUGUGCAGGCACACAGCAGAACUUGUCUGUGAGGAAUCAGAACCUUCACACCAGGGGACAGAAACACAUGGCAUCCAGGAGAUGCUGUGAGCUAUCCUGCUGCAUCCCAUCUUCAAAGGAGAUCAAGGAAUGGAUUCUUCACUUUGAUCUGUGUUGGCCUCCAGCAUCUGCAUGAAACACUUGGGCGAAGUCUGCCCAAGCCUGGCUUUAGACUUCUCAGCAAAUACUUCUCCAAGGUGCCACAAUACAUCAGAUUGUGUCUUCAAUCUGAAACACUCUGUGUAGCAUCAAGUCAGCAUUAUUAAAAGCCUCCAACCCCACAUUUCUUCAAAAGGUAAAUGAAGCAGAACCAGGUUUUGGUGUAGUCCCAAGACAGAAACAGUACUUUCAGCAAAUAUCCGAUGGACAGUGACUCCCUUGCUUUCUCAUUAUUCCAACUCUUAAUAAAAACCUUGUCCCAACUCCCUUUCACCAGAGGGACUGGUUGCCAGGUAGGGAGGGACUGUAUGAGGGAGGCCUCUUCUCUUCCCUGCUAAGUUAUGUUUUGAAGCAGCAAAGUUGCAUCAUCAUUUAACACAAACACCAUCCUGUCACUUCAGACCUAGAGCUGUCAACCAGCGCCAAAAUUCAGGAAGAGAAAACCCCAGCCAUGUGAGACAGCUGCUGUAGGACUGGUUGAGCUGGAGAGCUCCGAGUUCCUGCUAAGAGGUUGUAACCAAACCAUCUGCAGAAGAUACAGGUGAGCAGAUAUACAGACAUCAGUGAUGGAGACAAGAGGUACCACGUGGAAGUGAGCAGUCACACUCACUUUUCCUGUGAAUACCAGGCAAUUAGGACACAGGCAGCAGUCAGAUUCAUUGGUCAGCAAUUAAGUGUAGAGCCCUUCGAGAUAAGUUAAAGCAGAACAAAGGAACAUUGCCCAUGCUCUUUGUGCCAGAGACAGAUAUUUUGCUCAAGGAGUGAUGCAAAGUCAAUUGCAGGAGCACAUUCAGCCCAAAAUGAGCAAGAGAGAACUGUAAUCCUACUGAGCCAAGGCCUCUGGAUACAACAUCCUUCUUCAGCAUCAGCUCUUUGUGCCUUCCUAACUCAGAGAUGCCACGUGGCCAGCAGUCCCCAAGCUCUCUCCCAGCUUCUCAGAUGUAGGUCAACGUGGAUGCUCCUCUGGAACUGCAAAUCCCACUUGGAGAGCAGCAUCAUUGCUGUUGGUGACAGUGACAAGUGCUGCCAAGGCCAAGAGCACACAUCUAUCAUCUGUCCAUUCCUCUUCGGAGUCCGUGCUGAACUCCAUGGCAGUCAGCUUGCAAGUCCAUACUGGAAAACUCUAUUUACUCCAAACAAAUAAGCAAUAAAUGAAAAUUCUGAAAGGUGGAGAGAAAAAACACUCCCAUAGCUGUAAGUUUAUUAAACCUAGCAUGGUUGAAAAGCAAAAGACGAAAAACAUGAUAUAUUUUUGUUUAUUAUUGCUCUUAAAGGGCUUGGUAGUCAAAUAUACAAGCUAUGCUCUAUUAAACCAGAAGAAAAUAAGAUAUAAAAUCUAUGCUCACUUUUCCAAUCCAAUCCACCUGCUAAUCUUCAUUAGUGACAUUAACUUCAGCUACUUCCAGUCAUUUUAAUUUAUACAUAAUCUGUGUACGUGUGCGCGCGCAAGUAUAAAAACCCCUAUUUGAGAGAUAAAAUUCAAAAUCAAGAGAUUCGUGUUGGUUUUGUACUGUAUUGUGCACUGCUGUAGGUUUCAGUUUUUCAAGUGGUUACUGAUAUGUCUGUUUAGAAGAGCAUAAUUUAAGUAUCUGAUGAUGUAUUUAUUAUAUUUCCAAAAAGAAAGCAUGACCAAUAAGUUAUGAUAAGAAAAUAUGAAAUGUUGAUUAUUCUCCCCUUGAUGUACAUGCACUAAUCCCAUGAUCCUGAAUAGGGAGUUACAUGCACUAAGAGGAGAAAAGGAUCCUGUAAAGAGAAAGGAAUUAAUAGCCUUUCUCCUCUAAGCAGCUCCCCUCUUCUCAGCAUUAAGAAGGGAUUUAUUUUGUGAAAUUCUCAUCAUGCCCAUUAAUAUACUGCUCAAAAUGUAAGUAUAAAACAUAGUCAAUGGUCAGCCUGCUUAGCAAGCCUCUUCUGCUAAGCCAGUACAAUUUAUAUAUACUCAAUAUCAUCUUCAGGAAGCAAGUAUACAGCAUUUGUAACAUUUUUCUAGGAAACAAGAACUAUACCCAUUACUGAAUUACUUAAGAAAAAAAAAAAAGAAAAAAAAAAAAGAACCCCCCACUGUUCUCAGUCCUCUGGUUAAAAACAGGGAAAAGACAGAGUGAACUUUAUCAGCAUUUGGAUGUCUGACUGUAUUUGAAGACAAAUUACAAAAACAUCCAGUAAACAGAGCUAUAGCUAGGCUCUGCUCUCCUCAGUUCCCAAAGCAUAUUUCAAAUUCCACUACCAUUUGCAACAGAUUUGCAGCCCCUCUCUUAGGGAAGAUUUAUUGAGGGGACAAAGAUGACACACUAACGUUGGGGGUCUGGGUACAAGGAGUCUAACAGGAGACAGACAGAACUCAGGUCAGCCUUCAAAUGCUCUUGUUGAAAAGACCACAAAUAAAAAUCAAGUGCAUGACAGAACAAGUGAUUAAUGACCCCAAGUAAAAUAUUUUUCUAAGUUACAAAAUUGCUCUUCCAGUGUUUGAAAACAGAAAAACCUGUGGGAGAAGAGGUUACAUUCCAACAGUUAAGAGCAAAUUCAGAAAGAAGGUAAAUUAUUACUCUCUUAUCUUGGUUACUGGAGCAAAGAUGAAAACAACAACCAGUGCUUUGAUAAAAUCUGCUCUUUACAAAAGUGAGAUAAAUAUUCUAGUGGCAGCUGGGUUAAAGAUACAGACCCUGAGGGUUAGCUUCUGCCCUCAGCCGUAAUCUGCAACUCAUUUCACCCACUUCUGUGAGCAGCCAAAUGCAGAUUGUGACCUUCAGACUUGAACAUAUAGGUAUAGUUACCACCUGAUUGCAAAUAAUUCUCCAGGUAUGCAUACAGCAGCAACCUACAGAAACCUCCAAAUGUGCGUUUGUAAAAAAAGGAAAGGAAGGAAAAAAGGGAGACAGGUACAGACAUGAUUCUGAGCUCUAAUUUUCAGUGAAAAAGAUCAGAAUGUCAACAAGCAAAACUAAAGAUGCUUAAAAUCCCUGAAGAGACCUUAUACUCUUUCUAAUGCUUUAACAGCACAGCUCACCUUGCAAAAAACUUCACAUGAACAUCUAAAGCAUGAUCAAGUCAAAAGAGCAGCACACCCUAUCCUGACACACACAGGGUAAAGUCCUGGCCCCAUCUGAAUCCAUGCUGAAACUCUCAUUAGAAGUUCAAGAGAUACCAGCAUUCAAAAUUUGACUGCUACAGACCUCUCCUUUUCACAUUUUUUU